UCGGAUUGAGUAACACUGGUUUUCUGCUUUCAGACUGUCACAAGUGCAGCAUUUUAAAACACACUCUUAAGUCUGCGGAUUGUUUGUCUCCAUCGGUAACAACAAGGUUGUGGAUAUACUUCCCUAAACCAAACCUUCUAAAUUCUUCAAGACAAAACAAGCUACAUUGCAUAACACUGACCAACAGUAUUGAUGACUGAGAUUGUGCUUUUCACAUGAAAUCUGUCAGAAACGACCGGGCCGUGGGCAGUCGCAAACAAUUGAAAGUGUAUAAUCAGUCUCUAUUAUCCCAUAAGAUUUGACCCUAUUGCUAUCUGAGUGUUAGAAUUCGGUCCAGUCUAAUGUGUUCAGUCCAUUUUGUGAUCUAUAGCAAUAAUCCAGAUGAACUAUCACAUUUACACACUGAAUCUUUUUGUUGGAUUGACAACAUCUGAAUAUUUAACUUUUGUUUCCUCACAUGUAGCCUUAAGUUUGCAAAAGUAUGCUAGGGUGUUUUUAAGAUAAUAUUCAGAACAUUUUUCAGGGGCACUGCCUUGUUUUCUGAUGUGGCCAACUGGCACAACUUGUUUAGUGACACUCAACAUGACUCAUUCACAAAUGACGUAUUCUUUUCCCUGUUCCCCAUCAAUAUGUAAUGUAUAAGCAAGUUACUAAAAAGAAGCCUGAAGCCAGGACAGCGGUUAUUUGAAGUUUUCAGUCUUUCUUAAAAAAAACAUAAACAGCUGCAGAUAUAGUUGACAAAGAAACAACAGUAGGUAAUUCUACGGUGUGUCACAGCAUUUAAACUGAUGAUGUCACCAGCUAGAGGUCUUCUCGGACCCAAAAACACGCAGCCAUGAAACUUGGACCUCGACCCGGGCUGCAGACUUCAUGCACCACACUGCUCUGCUUUUCUGAUGACACACACCUCUUUGUGGCUCUUGUGUUCCCGCCCUAACAAUGUUGCAAUUUAUGAAUAGACACACAAUACACACACACACACACACACACACACACAGCAUUAGUUCCAGCAGGCUCCAGCUCCAUCACGGAUCCACUCGGGUAUUCCACAUAAUGAUUAACAGACCUGGGACCCGCGACAAUAGAAAGGGGAACUGACCCGGAUCCGACUGACUGAGUCUGUACACGUCCUGAUUCCAAUCACUGGUCAUCUUUGUAUAUAACGUGACCCAGGAACCCUCUGUAAACGCAGCAGGGACUGCAGGAAGAAUGAAUGCAGCCAAUUCACAGAGGUACUUGAAGAAAACCUGCUCCAGAGUGAACGUGAUCUGAGACUGUGGCGAUGGUUCAUCACGACAGCGCGACAAUUAUUUAAUCUUUAUUUAAUCAGGCAAACUCAUUGAGAUCUAAAAUCUCUUUUUCAAGAGAGGUCUUAGAACAAUUAACAUUUACAGCAAUAAAAGACGACACAAAUUACAGAGAGCAAGAGCAGACAACAGACAAACACCUCAACUAAAGGCAGUUGCGAGAUUCGGUGAAGUGUGCUAAUAAUAACUGUUUGUGAUUCAUUACGUUUAAAAGCUGCAUAAUAGUUCAAACCAGUUUUCCAAGAUUAGUUUGAAUAGGGGGAUUGCCAAUCGGGAAAUCUCGGAUCUUGUUCUGUAGUUACUGGAUUUAACAGAAAUGAGUGAUUUUUUAAAUUUUUGUGGAUUCAUUGUCUCCGAACUGACAGAAUGAACAAAGAGUGGACCACGCCUCUCUCCCUUGUAUCAAUACUGACAGAAAAAUUGUGCUUUAUGUGUCACCCUGUGGUUUACUCUUUUGAUCACACCGGACUGCUAAGAAUUCUUUGACCUAACCAGAGCCGGCCCUGGCGAGAUGUUUGGCGAGAUGUUCGGUCGGCACCCCCCACCCCCAGGGCGCAUACAGUACAUGAAUUCAGACCCAAAAUGCAGACAACCAGACUCAAUGAAAGUUCUCACAGAUUUAAUAGUCUUUCCAUCAAUAGAGCAGUAAGGUAGAGAAGCAGGAGCAAGGCAGCGUGCAUUCAGCAAUGGUUUCCUGACUGAGUUCCAGUCUUGGGCUGAGUUGCAGGACUCACACCUGGCGCUGCCAGAUCUACUUCCUGCCUCAGAAAGUGACCUAAACGAUCAGAGAAGGCGAAUCAGCUUUGGGAAAAUCACUGCACAAGAUCUAAACAAAGUCAUAGAAGAAACUGUCCGAGGGGUUAACCAUGGUCGAAAGAAACAAUCUGGUGACGAGGAGUCGAAGAGUCACAGCUUUAAUGCAGAGAUAACGAGCUUGAUCAGGAAGGGACCUCAGGAAGACCACGUCCACUGACACACACACACACACACACACACACACACACAGACAGA
This is a long non-coding RNA of Scophthalmus maximus (turbot), 2318 nucleotides long. RefSeq lists it as uncharacterized. The record is from RefSeq and is a predicted model, not a curated record. The transcript has 2 exons. Lineage: Eukaryota; Metazoa; Chordata; Actinopteri; Pleuronectiformes; Scophthalmidae.